AACUUAAAUGAAUUGACGGGGGCCCGCACAAGCGGUGGAGCAUGUGGUUUAAUUCGAAGCAACGCGCAGAACCUUACCAACCCUUGACAUGGGUAUCGCGAUUUCCAGAGAUGGAUUUCUUCAGUUCGGCUGGAUACCACACAGGUGCUGCAUGGCUGUCGUCAGCCCGUGUCGUGAGAUGUUCGGUUAAGUCCGGCAACGAGCGCAACCCACGUCUUUAGUUGCCAGCAUUCAGUUGGGCACUCUAAAGAAACUGCCGAUGAUAAGUCGGAGGAAGGUGUGGAUGACGUCAAGUCCUCAUGGCCCUUACGGGUUGGGCUACACACGUGCUACAAUGGCAGUGACAAUGGGUUAAUCCCUAAAAGCUGUCUCAGUUCGGAUUGGGGUCUGCAACUCGACCCCAUGAAGUCGGAAUCGCUAGUAAUCGCGUAACAGCAUGACGCGGUGAAUACGUUCCCGGGCCUU
Molecule: ribosomal RNA, 465 nt
Filed under: uncultured Thioclava sp.
Lineage: Bacteria; Pseudomonadati; Pseudomonadota; Alphaproteobacteria; Rhodobacterales; Paracoccaceae
Description: bacterial SSU rRNA
Rfam family: Bacterial small subunit ribosomal RNA
Source: RNAcentral